Molecule: long non-coding RNA, 1794 nt
Organism: Micropterus dolomieu (smallmouth bass)
Lineage: Eukaryota; Metazoa; Chordata; Actinopteri; Centrarchiformes; Centrarchidae
Exons: 3
Source: RefSeq, a predicted model, not a curated record
UCUACAGUCCCCUGAGAACUAAUUAUACCAUUACCACAGAGCUCAGUUCAAGGCCACUCUAAAAAAUGAAUGUGGCUCUUUCCUUCUGUACUUGCUGACAAAACACACAGAGCGUUUCCACGUAUGUCCCAUGCUGCCAUAUGGUGUGGUGCGUGGAUUUUAAAAAAAGCCUCACAGAAGCCAUUACGGCAUUCACGGAAAUGGUGUAAAGGCCAGAAUCAAAAUAGGAGGGUCUGAUCAGGAGACCCUGGCUGAGUACAGUGUGUCGGGGACCGGGAAGGAGGAUGCUGUCAGAGAAGCGCCAGCUGACUGGGAGGUUUGUCUCAGGGGAACAUGGGAGGAACUGCGCUAUCUUGAUGGUGACUUGAGCCUUACUGUUUCCAAGGACAGCUGGAGAAAGUUGACAGGCUGAGGAGUUAGAAACAGCUGCAGCUCCUCGAUGAUGCGUCCGUCCUCACCAUCAAACAUCACUGCCUUCUGCAGCCAACCAGACUCUGAGGGAGAAGAAUGAAUCCAACGGUUGAUCGGUCAAUACACCUCAGGUGUGAUUUGUGAUACUGGUGUAAAAUCAUGUCUGCACAUGCUACUGCAGUUGCAUGCCUGUGCCAACAAGCAUAACUUGAUGCUGUCGUCCAUCCAGUGACGUGACUUGGUCCACGACAAUUUUGGAAAAUUGAGUCCCUGUGCGGACCAGCAGAGGCUUGCCAGAUAUCGGCAUAACCACUCCCUCCAUCAGAGGGUGGUUCUUUACGAACAGAAGGGUUUUGUCUGAGAGGUCGAGAGAGGUCAUCACUCCUUGGGCGCGCAGCUCAUCGUUUAUGCACUAUGAGAACAACAUAAAAACAGACUGCACUGGAUGUCAUCUGAUGAGAUAACGAUGGAUAACAGGGUCAUCUAAAUGCUUCUUUUAUUAAAACUAAAUAUAAUCAGCCCUAAUAAUGAUGUGUUCUUUAAAUUGUUCUUCGGCUUGUACUUACUGAACUUGGGUGAGGAAAUGGCUCCUCUCCUGUGUAUGUAUCCCAGCUCCCAGUAUCUCCCUCAGUCAAAAACCUCCCACUAAAAACCUGGCUGAUGUCUGAUAGCUUGUACGGACAGAUGGCAGACUGGCUACAAGCACCUGAGGACCCCCUGUGACGGAUCCAGGAAAGAUAUCCUGUUAUUUUCUAUUCCUACUGUGUAUAUAUCUUCUUUACAUCUCAAGUUAUAAUACUCAUCAGCAAUAUACAUUCAAAGCAGAGGUGCGUACUAUGGCUACAUGCAACUCACGUGUUGGAGGUGAAUACGGUGUAGAAGAUGCUAUCCCUCCAGUUAUUUUGGUCUCGGAGAAGGAAAACAUCCUGAACCAGGGACGGUGAGCCAGCAUCGCCAAAUGGACAGUCCAAACGGGCCUUCAGAAAAGAAGUCCACUUGCUCUGCAGGGUCCUUUUGCCCCCCAAGUCACUCUAACACACACACACACACACACACACACACACACACACACACCUAAUUUACACUUGUAGUUUAUCUAGUGCAGGUUUUUUAAGCUUCUGACUUCAGAGACUUACCUUGCACACACGGGCAAUCCUUGACACCUGGAUGUUAUGAUGAUGUUCCUCUACAGCAUUCUCAGUGAAGAACAAGAAUACACUGUCGUCUCCACCGUCCUCUCGGUUUUUGCUGGUUUCAACCAGGCUUAUGGAAAUCAUGGUAGGCUCUGACACCAAAGCAUUGAGGAUAUGAAACCACAGAGUACAAAGAAUUUACAAGGUCUGAAAAUGAAAAUAACUGAUGGGUGUACAAUUAUGGCCGGAA